GGCAACUUGCCUGAGUGGUUAAAGGGUAUGACUCGAAUGGUUGCAUCCAUCUCAGCUAUCAUAUGGCUUCGGCCGCGUAGGUUCGAAUCCUGCAGUUGUCG
RNAcentral lists this transfer RNA (101 nucleotides) under Ceratocystis platani. It matches the Rfam family "tRNA". Rfam says of the family: Transfer RNA (tRNA) molecules are approximately 80 nucleotides in length. Their secondary structure includes four short double-helical elements and three loops (D, anti-codon, and T loops). Further hydrogen bonds mediate the characteristic L-shaped molecular structure. tRNAs have two regions of fundamental functional importance: the anti-codon, which is responsible for specific mRNA codon recognition, and the 3' end, to which the tRNAs corresponding amino acid is attached (by aminoacyl-tRNA synthetases). tRNAs cope with the degeneracy of the genetic code in two manners: having more than one tRNA (with a specific anti-codon) for a particular amino acid; and 'wobble' base-pairing, i.e. permitting non-standard base-pairing at the 3rd anti-codon position. Lineage: Eukaryota; Fungi; Ascomycota; Sordariomycetes; Microascales; Ceratocystidaceae. The record is from Rfam by way of RNAcentral.